AGACAGGUGUCCGAGUGGUUGAAGGAGCACGCCUGGAACGCGUGUAAGGUUAAUAGCCUUCGUGGGUUCGAAUCCCAUCCUGUCUG
RNAcentral lists this transfer RNA (86 nucleotides) under Campylobacter sp. RM16192. It matches the Rfam family "tRNA". Rfam says of the family: Transfer RNA (tRNA) molecules are approximately 80 nucleotides in length. Their secondary structure includes four short double-helical elements and three loops (D, anti-codon, and T loops). Further hydrogen bonds mediate the characteristic L-shaped molecular structure. tRNAs have two regions of fundamental functional importance: the anti-codon, which is responsible for specific mRNA codon recognition, and the 3' end, to which the tRNAs corresponding amino acid is attached (by aminoacyl-tRNA synthetases). tRNAs cope with the degeneracy of the genetic code in two manners: having more than one tRNA (with a specific anti-codon) for a particular amino acid; and 'wobble' base-pairing, i.e. permitting non-standard base-pairing at the 3rd anti-codon position. The record is from Rfam by way of RNAcentral. Lineage: Bacteria; Pseudomonadati; Campylobacterota; Epsilonproteobacteria; Campylobacterales; Campylobacteraceae.